RNAcentral lists this ribosomal RNA (2810 nucleotides) under Klebsiella pneumoniae. RNAcentral's name for it is "partial 23S ribosomal RNA". It matches the Rfam family "Bacterial large subunit ribosomal RNA". The record is from RNAcentral. Lineage: Bacteria; Pseudomonadati; Pseudomonadota; Gammaproteobacteria; Enterobacterales; Enterobacteriaceae.
CCGGCGAUGUCCGAAUGGGGAAACCCAGUGCAAUUCGUUGCACUAUCGUUAACUGAAUACAUAGGUUAACGAGGCGAACCGGGGGAACUGAAACAUCUAAGUACCCCGAGGAAAAGAAAUCAACCGAGAUUCCCCCAGUAGCGGCGAGCGAACGGGGAGCAGCCCAGAGUCUGAAUCAGCUUGUGUGUUAGUGGAACGGUCUGGAAAGUCCGACGGUACAGGGUGAUAGUCCCGUACACCAAAAUGCACAGGCUGUGAACUCGAAGAGUAGGGCGGGACACGUGGUAUCCUGUCUGAAUAUGGGGGGACCAUCCUCCAAGGCUAAAUACUCCUGACUGACCGAUAGUGAACCAGUACCGUGAGGGAAAGGCGAAAAGAACCCCGGCGAGGGGAGUGAAAAAGAACCUGAAACCGUGUACGUACAAGCAGUGGGAGCACCUUCGGGUGUGACUGCGUACCUUUUGUAUAAUGGGUCAGCGACUUAUAUUCUGUAGCAAGGUUAACCGUAUAGGGGAGCCGCAGGGAAACCGAGUCUUAACUGGGCGUUAAGUUGCAGGGUAUAGACCCGAAACCCGGUGAUCUAGCCAUGGGCAGGUUGAAGGUUGGGUAACACUAACUGGAGGACCGAACCGACUAAUGUUGAAAAAUUAGCGGAUGACUUGUGGCUGGGGGUGAAAGGCCAAUCAAACCGGGAGAUAGCUGGUUCUCCCCGAAAGCUAUUUAGGUAGCGCCUCGUGAACUCAUCUUCGGGGGUAGAGCACUGUUUCGGCUAGGGGGUCAUCCCGACUUACCAACCCGAUGCAAACUACGAAUACCGAAGAAUGUUAUCACGGGAGACACACGGCGGGUGCUAACGUCCGUCGUGAAGAGGGAAACAACCCAGACCGCCAGCUAAGGUCCCAAAGUCAUGGUUAAGUGGGAAACGAUGUGGGAAGGCACAGACAGCCAGGAUGUUGGCUUAGAAGCAGCCAUCAUUUAAAGAAAGCGUAAUAGCUCACUGGUCGAGUCGGCCUGCGCGGAAGAUGUAACGGGGCUAAACCAUGCACCGAAGCUGCGGCAGCGACACUAUGUGUUGUUGGGUAGGGGAGCGUUCUGUAAGCCUGCGAAGGUGUGCUGUGAGGCAUGCUGGAGGUAUCAGAAGUGCGAAUGCUGACAUAAGUAACGAUAAAGCGGGUGAAAAGCCCGCUCGCCGGAAGACCAAGGGUUCCUGUCCAACGUUAAUCGGGGCAGGGUGAGUCGACCCCUAAGGCGAGGCCGAAAGGCGUAGUCGAUGGGAAACAGGUUAAUAUUCCUGUACUUGGUGUUACUGCGAAGGGGGGACGGAGAAGGCUAUGUUAGCCGGGCGACGGUUGUCCCGGUUUAAGCAUGUAGGCUGGUUGUCCAGGCAAAUCCGGAUAAUCAAGGCUGAGGUGUGAUGACGAGGCACUACGGUGCUGAAGUAACAAAUGCCCUGCUUCCAGGAAAAGCCUCUAAGCAUCAGGUAACAUCAAAUCGUACCCCAAACCGACACAGGUGGUCAGGUAGAGAAUACCAAGGCGCUUGAGAGAACUCGGGUGAAGGAACUAGGCAAAAUGGUGCCGUAACUUCGGGAGAAGGCACGCUGGUGUGUAGGUGAAGCCCCUGCGGGUGGAGCUGAGACCAGUCGAAGAUACCAGCUGGCUGCAACUGUUUAUUAAAAACACAGCACUGUGCAAACACGAAAGUGGACGUAUACGGUGUGACGCCUGCCCGGUGCCGGAAGGUUAAUUGAUGGGGUUAUCCGUAAGGAGAAGCUCUUGAUCGAAGCCCCGGUAAACGGCGGCCGUAACUAUAACGGUCCUAAGGUAGCGAAAUUCCUUGUCGGGUAAGUUCCGACCUGCACGAAUGGCGUAAUGAUGGCCAGGCUGUCUCCACCCGAGACUCAGUGAAAUUGAACUCGCUGUGAAGAUGCAGUGUACCCGCGGCAAGACGGAAAGACCCCGUGAACCUUUACUAUAGCUUGACACUGAACAUUGAGCCUUGAUGUGUAGGAUAGGUGGGAGGCUUUGAAGCGUGGACGCCAGUCUGCGUGGAGCCAACCUUGAAAUACCACCCUUUAAUGUUUGAUGUUCUAACGUUGGCCCCUGACCGGGGUUGCGGACAGUGUCUGGUGGGUAGUUUGACUGGGGCGGUCUCCUCCCAAAGCGUAACGGAGGAGCACGAAGGUUAGCUAAUCCUGGUCGGACAUCAGGAGGUUAGUGCAAUGGCAUAAGCUAGCUUGACUGCGAGCGUGACGGCGCGAGCAGGUGCGAAAGCAGGUCAUAGUGAUCCGGUGGUUCUGAAUGGAAGGGCCAUCGCUCAACGGAUAAAAGGUACUCCGGGGAUAACAGGCUGAUACCGCCCAAGAGUUCAUAUCGACGGCGGUGUUUGGCACCUCGAUGUCGGCUCAUCACAUCCUGGGGCUGAAGUAGGUCCCAAGGGUAUGGCUGUUCGCCAUUUAAAGUGGUACGCGAGCUGGGUUUAGAACGUCGUGAGACAGUUCGGUCCCUAUCUGCCGUGGGCGCUGGAGAAUUGAGGGGGGCUGCUCCUAGUACGAGAGGACCGGAGUGGACGCAUCACUGGUGUUCGGGUUGUCAUGCCAAUGGCACUGCCCGGUAGCUAAAUGCGGAAGAGAUAAGUGCUGAAAGCAUCUAAGCACGAAACUUGCCCCGAGAUGAGUUCUCCCUGAGACUUUAAGUCUCCUGAAGGAACGUUGAAGACGACGACGUUGAUAGGCCGGGUGUGUAAGCGCAGCGAUGCGUUGAGCUAACCGGUACUAAUGAACCGUGAGGCUUAACCUUACAACGCCGAAG